RNAcentral lists this ribosomal RNA (910 nucleotides) under uncultured archaeon. RNAcentral's name for it is "bacterial SSU rRNA". It matches the Rfam family "Archaeal small subunit ribosomal RNA", at positions 8 to 924 of the family's 1478-position model. The record is from RNAcentral.
UUGAUCCUGCCGGAGGUUACUGCUAUCGAGGUUCGACUAAGCCAUGCGAGUCGAAUGUAGCAAUACAUGGCGUACUGCUCAGUAACACGUGGACAACCUACCCUUAGGCCGGGGAUAAACCCGGGAAACUGGGUAUAAUACCCGAUAGUCCUCGACUGCUGGAAUGCAUCGAGGACUAAAGCUCCGGCGCCUAAGGAUGGGUCUGCGGCCUAUCAGGUAGUAGUGGGUGUAGCGUACCUACUAGCCUACGACGGGUACGGGUUGUGAGAGCAAGAGCCCGGAGAUGGAUUCUGAGACACGAAUCCAGGCCCUACGGGGUGCAGCAGGCGCGAAAACUUUACAAUGCUGGAAACAGCGAUAAGGGGACCUCGAGUGCCAGGUUACAAAUCUGGCUGUCGUGAUGCCUAAAAAGCAUUGCAUAGCAAGGGCCGGGCAAGACCGGUGCCAGCCGCCGCGGUAACACCGGCGGCUCGAGUGGUAACCGUUAUUAUUGGGUCUAAAGGGUCUGUAGCCGGCCGGAUAAGUCUCUUGGGAAAUCUGGCAGCUUAACUGUCAGGCUUUCAGGAGAUACUGUCUGGCUCGAGGCCGGGAGAGGUGAGAGGUACUUCAGGGGUAGGGGUGAAAUCUUGUAAUCCUUGAAGGACCACCAGUGGCGAAGGCGUCUCACCAGAACGGACCUGACGGCAAGGGACGAAAGCUAGGGGCACGAACCGGAUUAGAUACCCGGGUAGUCCUAGCCGUAACGAUACUCGCUAGGUGUCGGCCACGGUGCGACCGUUGUCGGUGCCGUAGGGAAGCCGUGAAGCGAGCCACCUGGGAAGUACGGCCGCAAGGCUGAAACUUAAAGGAAUUGGCGGGGGAGCACCACAACGGGUGGAGCUUGCGGUUUAAUUGGAUUCAACGCCGGAAA